AAGAGAGAAAAAAAAAAAAGGAAAAAAAACUA
RNAcentral lists this small RNA (32 nucleotides) under Arabidopsis thaliana (thale cress). RNAcentral's name for it is "ATSL297410". The record is from RNAcentral. Lineage: Eukaryota; Viridiplantae; Streptophyta; Magnoliopsida; Brassicales; Brassicaceae.